GCCAGUGCAGUUCCCGUCACAGCAAGUGCUUCCUCUGUCGGAGCAGACAAACUAACUGAAGCCACAGCCGGAAGCAGGCUGACCACAAGUGCUAAGGUUCUGGUUAGUUCUUUUCUAGGUAAAGUUGGAAAAGUCCCUGCAAAAGCAAACACUAAAGUUUUAGACACGGGGGUGGCAUUGACCAGCCUCUUAAAAUGUUGAUUGGAAAGAGGGAAAGAGAGAGUGUGUGUGUGUGUGUGUGAGAGAGAGAGAGAGACAGAGAAAGAGAGAGAGAGACAGAGAGAGAGAGGAGGAGGAGGAAGUUGGAUUGUAUGAUGCAAAUGCUAAUCAUUCUGAGAAAUGGGGUAUUUUUUUUUUCUUGCCAGGUUCAGAUGAAGUGCCUGUUCUAAGAAAGACUACAAGAUUCUGUAAAUUUCGACACCAGCCUCGUGACAUGAGUAUGUCAGUAGAAAGAGGACCAGCCUGGAAUCAGAAGUUAAAGGUUCAAGUUGUGAUGCUCCAACGUGUACACAGGACAGUGAAGUUCCUCCCUCUAGCCCUUCCAUCAGUUCCUGGGACUACCCCUGGAAGAAAGAAGGUAGCUGUCUACAGGGUUUGUAGCACCAGCUCUCUCCUGGGUCAAGAAAGACGCAAGACUUGGGCUAGUUCCCCUUGUAAACAGACGGCAGUGACUCGCCAGAUGAAGAAAAAAGGUUCAAGAAGCCAAGUGCCUAAACCAUAGUCACACACCUAGGAAGCAGCAGAAGCCAAUCAGAACCCAGGUCUGACUCCCAAGCCCAACCUCUGAACUCCUUCGCCAUCACAUUUAUUCUAAAAGGAAUAUUUUUUCUU
Long non-coding RNA from Nycticebus coucang (slow loris), 831 nucleotides. RefSeq lists it as uncharacterized. The transcript has 4 exons. The record is from RefSeq and is a predicted model, not a curated record. Lineage: Eukaryota; Metazoa; Chordata; Mammalia; Primates; Lorisidae.